This 466-nucleotide ribosomal RNA is filed under the name uncultured bacterium. Its description in RNAcentral is "partial 16S ribosomal RNA". It matches the Rfam family "Bacterial small subunit ribosomal RNA", at positions 28 to 507 of the family's 1533-position model. The record is from RNAcentral.
GACGAACGCUGGCGGCGUGCUUAACACAUGCAAGUCGAACGGAAAGGCCCUGCUUGCAGGGUACUCGAGUGGCGAACGGGUGAGUAACACGUGGGUGAUCUGCCCUGCACUUCGGGAUAAGCUUGGGAAACUGGGUCUAAUACCGGAUAGGAACCAUCUUUAGUGUGGUGGUUGGAAAGUUUUUUCGGUGUAGGAUGAGCUCGCGGCCUAUCAGCUUGUUGGUGGGGUAAUGGCCUACCAAGGCGGCGACGGGUAGCCGGCCUGAGAGGGUGUACGGCCACAUUGGGACUGAGAUACGGCCCAGACUCCUACGGGAGGCAGCAGUGGGGAAUAUUGCACAAUGGGCGCAAGCCUGAUGCAGCGACGCCGCGUGGGGGAUGAAGGCCUUCGGGUUGUAAACUCCUUUCGCUAAGGACGAAGCUUUGUUGUGACGGUACCUAGAUAAGAAGCACCGGCUAACUACGUG